This is a long non-coding RNA of Anneissia japonica, 237 nucleotides long. RefSeq lists it as uncharacterized. The transcript is spliced from 3 exons. The record is from RefSeq and is a predicted model, not a curated record. Lineage: Eukaryota; Metazoa; Echinodermata; Crinoidea; Comatulida; Comatulidae.
UCAAUAGAAAGAACGGAAGAUUUACCCGAGUCUGCCAGAGCUAGUAGCCUACCUUUGUUCGGCAGAUGCAAUAAUGACGGAAGUUCAGUGUGAUGCAGGCGAAUAUCGUGAAGGUUCAUCUAAUCGUUGUGAACCGUGCCAAAAUUGUAGCCUUUCAGCUUUUAAUGCUGGGAAUCAAUUUAAAGAUGCGUGUUAUUCAUCUGAAUCGUGCCCACGAUGGUGUGGUGUCUAUAGUGU